This 1317-nucleotide ribosomal RNA is filed under the name Streptococcus thermophilus. RNAcentral's name for it is "bacterial SSU rRNA". It matches the Rfam family "Bacterial small subunit ribosomal RNA", at positions 99 to 1405 of the family's 1533-position model. Lineage: Bacteria; Bacillati; Bacillota; Bacilli; Lactobacillales; Streptococcaceae. The record is from RNAcentral.
CGAACGGGUGAGUAACGCGUAGGUAACCUGCCUUGUAGCGGGGGAUAACUAUUGGAAACGAUAGCUAAUACCGCAUAACAAUGGAUGACACAUGUCAUUUAUUUGAAAGGGGCAAUUGCUCCACUACAAGAUGGACCUGCGUUGUAUUAGCUAGUAGGUGAGGUAAUGGCUCACCUAGGCGACGAUACAUAGCCGACCUGAGAGGGUGAUCGGCCACACUGGGACUGAGACACGGCCCAGACUCCUACGGGAGGCAGCAGUAGGGAAUCUUCGGCAAUGGGGGCAACCCUGACCGAGCAACGCCGCGUGAGUGAAGAAGGUUUUCGGAUCGUAAAGCUCUGUUGUAAGUCAAGAACGGGUGUGAGAGUGGAAAGUUCACACUGUGACGGUAGCUUACCAGAAAGGGACGGCUAACUACGUGCCAGCAGCCGCGGUAAUACGUAGGUCCCGAGCGUUGUCCGGAUUUAUUGGGCGUAAAGCGAGCGCAGGCGGUUUGAUAAGUCUGAAGUUAAAGGCUGUGGCUCAACCAUAGUUCGCUUUGGAAACUGUCAAACUUGAGUGCAGAAGGGGAGAGUGGAAUUCCAUGUGUAGCGGUGAAAUGCGUAGAUAUAUGGAGGAACACCGGUGGCGAAAGCGGCUCUCUGGUCUGUAACUGACGCUGAGGCUCGAAAGCGUGGGGAGCGAACAGGAUUAGAUACCCUGGUAGUCCACGCCGUAAACGAUGAGUGCUAGGUGUUGGAUCCUUUCCGGGAUUCAGUGCCGCAGCUAACGCAUUAAGCACUCCGCCUGGGGAGUACGACCGCAAGGUUGAAACUCAAAGGAAUUGACGGGGGCCCGCACAAGCGGUGGAGCAUGUGGUUUAAUUCGAAGCAACGCGAAGAACCUUACCAGGUCUUGACAUCCCGAUGCUAUUUCUAGAGAUAGAAAGUUACUUCGGUACAUCGGUGACAGGUGGUGCAUGGUUGUCGUCAGCUCGUGUCGUGAGAUGUUGGGUUAAGUCCCGCAACGAGCGCAACCCCUAUUGUUAGUUGCCAUCAUUCAGUUGGGCACUCUAGCGAGACUGCCGGUAAUAAACCGGAGGAAGGUGGGGAUGACGUCAAAUCAUCAUGCCCCUUAUGACCUGGGCUACACACGUGCUACAAUGGUUGGUACAACGAGUUGCGAGUCGGUGACGGCGAGCUAAUCUCUUAAAGCCAAUCUCAGUUCGGAUUGUAGGCUGCAACUCGCCUACAUGAAGUCGGAAUCGCUAGUAAUCGCGGAUCAGCACGCCGCGGUGAAUACGUUCCCGGGCCUUGUACACACCGCCCGUCACACCAC